Phasianus colchicus (ring-necked pheasant) is the source of this 729-nucleotide non-coding RNA. NCBI's taxonomy places the organism in Eukaryota, Metazoa, Chordata, Aves, Galliformes, Phasianidae. The record is from RefSeq and is a predicted model, not a curated record.
AGAGCUAAGUGAAUGCAUCUCUGAUCAUUUUUGUCUGAUUUGGGCUAUGACUGGAAUAGUGGCUUUGGAGUAGAGGAAAGAGAAGCAUAAGGAGACUCAUUGGGUUGCUCACACUGUGGCAGAAACGUAAUAAUAUAAGGCACAGGGAACAUUCAGAGGUAAGAAAAAGAGUUCUCAGCCUGUGAGACUUAACCACCCCUUCACUCUUAUCAGAACUCUUUCCAUAAAGCAAAAUCCAAAUACUUUCUCCCUUCCCACCCAUCACUCAACCCAGAAAUCCACACCAGGAGGGAACAGUGCACGGUGUGUGUGUGUGUGGCACACGCAGCUCCCCUGGGAUUUAAGGAUGGAAUUUAAGGAUGACCAAAGCAGAGGUGGGAUGUGCUUGAGGACGCUGUGAUGUGGGACAGCCAAGCGCCUUAUCUCAGCUGCAGCAGAACCACAAGAGCCAGGCCAGCCACCAGCACCCACGUCUGCACCGCAUCGCCCCUUACAGCACGCAGAACACAACUGCAGUACAACUGGUGAGUAAUGGUAAAGCAUGAAGCACUUUCAAACCUUUAUUUUUCAAGGGGGUUUUACAGGAUGGGAUGUAUUCGUUUCAUUUGUUUUUUUCAGUAUUUUUUGUGUGCUUCCCCGCUUGUUUCUUGGAUUAGCCCUUUGUUUUGGUGCCCGGUGAUUGUUAAAUUCAAACCCUGGGAAUGAAACUUAUAAAGGGCGGGGGGGGGG